AACCAGGGAAUUACAGUUGUCAGCCAAUAAGAAGCAAGGCCUCCGUAUCUUAUCUACUGUGGAUUCUGAGUAUGUGAGCCUUUUUGUGCAGACAGUGUUCUCGGCAUGUUCUCAUACUUUUCCUAAACAGCAUUUACUUACAUUUCCCGAAUACAUUUGAAUUAAACUAAACAAGGGAAACAGACGUCUGCUGAAGAACAAACCUGCUUCCGCUGCCUUCACAAUAUAUAUACUGUAUAGGAAGAUCAAGUGAUUGUGGUUGAAGCGGCUGUUGGGCUGCUGCUGCCAUUACAUUUUGACUGUAUGGAUCUUUAACAUUUUUUCACGAAAAAAGGAUGCUACUGAAAUUGCAGCUGCGGGGAAUAUUACACCAGGGGCACCAAGCACAGAGGCAGAAGGAAUAAACUGACCACUGCCUUCGGAUGCACCCACCAAACAUCGGAACAGAUCUCUUAGCAAGGCCUUCUCAUAGCUUGUUCUGCUGCAGUCCUGUGAGUCUCCAUCAUCGAUUUAUCUGGCUGAGUACAGUACAGCAUUUGAGCCAACACUUCCAGAGACCCCGUGGAAAGAAGAACCAGUGUGUAAAAUUGUCCAUAGAAACAUGGACAUGGAUAUAAUAAUGAUGCCGGAGUACCAGGAAGCAUGUUGGCCUCUGAAGAUAAUAUGGGAGCGCAUUAACCAUGCAUACAGUUCAGAUACUCCUCCUAAGGACUGGGGACUUCAAAAAGGGGACUAUGGCAUCCAAACCUGGGUCUUCACAUCUAACAAUGAAAAAUACUAUGUGGUCUGGGAUUCUCACUGCUCCUAUUGGAAGGUGAACACUCCGUUUGGACAGUGUUUGGUUUUUAUAGGACCACUGUUCAUCAACAAAGAAAGGACGGGUCUAGCUGUACCGCCGUUAUUCAAUGUCAACAUGUCUGAUACAGAUACACUGAUGCCGACCUUGUUUCCAGAGGUGAAAGAGCAAAUGGAAAAAAUUGUGCAAUUUGUGGUUAAGCCUUACCGCAGCAAAGCAUCAUGAGAUACAAACGGUAUGCGUUCCAUAGUGAUUGAUGAUAACCCAUUGUUUUAAGUCACAUUCAAAAGUUUAGUUUAUUUAAAUAAGAUAUUUAAAUGAUCUCCAAGGCAUGGAGCUGUCACAUUUUAGUGGGGGGGAGGGGUUUUCUGUUGUAGUAGGUGGCCGCAGACCCAUUUUGGAAAUGUUAAAUAUCUUGAUACAUAGUUGGUGAGGUUGAAAAAGGACUAGUAGUCCAUCGAGUUCAACCUGAGUUAUAUUGCAUUCCCUAUUCUAUUUAGGUUAAAGGCUAUAUCCUCGUAUAUCUUUUUCCGUUAGGAAUUUGUCUACCCCAUUUUGUAACGCAUUGGAUGAGUCCGCCAUUACAACCUUCUCUGGCAGUGUAUUCCAUAUUCGACUUGUCCUUACAGUGAAUAUUCCCUUCCUGCGCUGAGUACAAAAUUUCUUCUCCUCAAGCCUUAGAUUGAUUGUUGGAUAUUCACUGAGGGGGUGCUGAUUGGGGGUCUUUUAAUACAAUAAAUGGGAUGGAGAUGUCUUUUACUCCAACAAAAUUAAAACCCUGACGUCUACAUGGGUGCAAUAUGCAGAAGCUGAAUGUGCAAGGCCUGAGAUGUCCACUAUCAGCACUUGGGCAAGCAAUAACAUGGCCGGCUGUUCUAGACCAUCCACCAUCAACCCUUACACUAGCCCUAUGGCAGGUGCAGUUUCUCUGUCUGAACAUGGGCCCGGGGUGGAAGCGGCUCUGCAUCUGGGAACGCAGCCAUUUUCACUGACACUCUCAGGAGAUGGACUUCUUUUUUGCAUUGACUUUGUGCAUACAUUCGGGGUAAUGCAUGCGCCAUAUGGUUUUUUGCACAUGCUUAGUAUGUGAACUUUGGUUUUGGCCCAUAAUAUCAAUACAAGCCAUUCUCUUUAAAUGGAUCUUACAGCAACUAUGAGCUAUGAAAACUGGACCAGGCAUUGUGAAGGAAGAAUUGGUUGGACCUCCAUUAUUGAUAAGGCCAAUAUGGUCCUGGUUGUCCGUGCUAUUACAUUACUUUCCAGCAGACAUAAAUAGUGGCAGAAGCUCAAUUAUCUUAGUGAUAUCAUUCAGGUGCUUGAAAGGGAGGGGUAUUUCUAAGCAAGAAAGAAAAGGCAUUUUGUUUCCCCAAGCACCCUGAACGAUAACAGUAACCAGAUUUAAAUCCCACACAAUACUAGAAUUCAGAGAUCUCAGUUACAUAUAUUUGCGCAAAUGUAUGAAUAAGCCCCAAAGCCGCAUCAAAGCGUUUCUGUAUAUUUGGGGUCCCUAGCGCUAUAUCUAGGUGCAGGGUGUGGCACCCCAAAACACCAACAUAAGCCAGAAAGCCCAGGGCAGCAUACCAGUGAAAAAACUAUAGUGUUAAUAAAUUAGUGUUAGGAAGCCGAAGCUAUAAAGGUGAUACAAAAAUGAGAUGUAAUUAAAAUGGAGAAAUAGUGUUAAAGAAAUUAGUAUGUGAAAAGUGUUAUUAGAAUGUACCACACCCCACAUCUCCAUUACCCCAAUCUGGGUCUAUGAUUAACCAGCAAGGAGCCACAUGAUAAUGGCUCCUUACUUAAAUAUAUCUAAGCUAAGAGCUACCUACCUUGGAGCAACCCCAUAAUGCUCCAUAUGGCAUAGAGGCAGAGGUUCCUGCAUUAGGAGGAGGUGCAGGCCCUGACAUGCCAUAUGGAGCAUUAUGGGGUUGUGUGAUUAUUGAAUGCUUUUACUGCAUAAUUGAGUGUAUUUAACUCUCUUAAGUUAUCUACACGUUAUACUUGCUAAAAAUAAUUGUGAAGAAUGAAUAAACUGCUGUAUAGAGAAGAUGUUCAGAAAUAAUUUUCAUUUUCCUGGAAUAAAUGUAACAUGGAUAAAG
Pseudophryne corroboree (corroboree frog) is the source of this 2889-nucleotide long non-coding RNA. RefSeq lists it as uncharacterized. The record is from RefSeq and is a predicted model, not a curated record. Lineage: Eukaryota; Metazoa; Chordata; Amphibia; Anura; Myobatrachidae. The transcript is spliced from 3 exons.